UCCUUGGAGGGAGAGUAGUUAUGUCUUUUCUAUUCACUACUCUGCACCAACAAACUUACAAUAGUACCUAGCACAUACUUGUUACUCAAUAAAAAAGCAUUAAAUAAAUGAAGAAAAAUAAACUAGAAGGAUUGGCAAUGUAUACCAUGUAAAUUGUACACUUCAUAACAUAACUGAUGAAAUAUAUUGCAAACAUGACAAUGUGAUAGCAGAGUAGCCCGCAGUCGUGCCAAGAUGAUCAGACAUCCCUGGCCUCUUCUGCCCCUUGCCCAUGGUUCCCUUCCAGAUGGCGCCUUAGACUUGUGGCAAACUUUUCAGCGUGACUCUGCUUUGGGCCAAUCCUGUUUGGCUGGGCAUCUACCCAUGAAGAGAUGGGAAACUUUGGGUGUUUCAUUGGGCUGACCAUAGAUCUGAAGCAUUCAACAAAGAAAGAGAGAAGAGGGAGAGACGAGCAUAAGGGACAGGGAAGGUAGAUCACAGGUGUUGUGGUGGUAGAACUACAGGGUCUACAUGUGAUGAGAAAAAUCAAGUACUGUACAAAAUUUAACAACAACAUAAGAAAAUCAAUUCAUUAAAAAAAAAUAGUAGGUGUAAA
Talpa occidentalis (Iberian mole) is the source of this 595-nucleotide long non-coding RNA. RefSeq lists it as uncharacterized. The record is from RefSeq and is a predicted model, not a curated record. The transcript is spliced from 4 exons. NCBI's taxonomy places the organism in Eukaryota, Metazoa, Chordata, Mammalia, Eulipotyphla, Talpidae.